GGCUAUAUCAGUAUUUUUGGUUCUAACUUCCUGGGGAUGAAUACAUGUGUUGAAUCAGGUUGAAACAGAUGUGAUUCCUGUGUGCUUGUCAAUUACAAUGAAAACAGCAGAACAUCUCAAAGAAGACAGAAGGAUACCUGAGACAGAAAAACACACCGAGACAGAGAGAAGAAUCUUCCAUUUGAUGGUUUACUCCCCAAAUACUUGCAGCAGUUGUGGCUGGACAAGCCAAGGCUAGGGGCCUGGAACUCCAUCCCUUGUGGUCUCAAGUACUUGAGCUCUUGUCUUCUGCCUUCCAGGUGAACACUGGCAGGAAGCUAGAUCAUAAGUACAGUUGGGACUCAAAUGCAGGCAUUCUGAGCAGCAUCUUAACCCCAAAUGCCCAGCUUAACUUUCAAGAGUUUCACAUGUUUGUGAGGAGUCCAUAACUCAACAGAUGGUCUCCAUGAAGACUGAAUGACAAAAACGUGAAGAACAAGAAUCAAAGGACCUACUGAGUAAACCACAGACUGAAAACAACGUAUGGAAACUGAGGGUCAUGCUAAGUGGUUGGGCAUCUUCGGUUCAGCGUGAGAGAAUGACCAAAAGGAAGGGAUUGGUAGAGAAAAAUAAAAAUGGAGACCACAGUCAUAUCUGUGGUUUCUGCAUCCACAAAUUCAACAAGCUGCAGAUUGAAAAUACUUGGAAAAAAAAUUGCAUCUACACUGAACAUGUAUAGUUUUGUCAUUAUUCUCUAUGUAAUAUAUAGUAUCACAAAAAUG
Molecule: non-coding RNA, 761 nt
Organism: Oryctolagus cuniculus (rabbit)
Lineage: Eukaryota; Metazoa; Chordata; Mammalia; Lagomorpha; Leporidae
Source: RefSeq, a predicted model, not a curated record